Molecule: ribosomal RNA, 492 nt
Filed under: uncultured bacterium
Lineage: Bacteria
Description: partial 16S ribosomal RNA
Rfam family: Bacterial small subunit ribosomal RNA
Source: RNAcentral
AGUGAACGCUGGCGGUAGGCCUAACACAUGCAAGUCGAACGGCAGCACAGUAAGAGCUUGCUCUUACGGGUGGCGAGUGGCGGACGGGUGAGGAAUACAUCGGAAUCUACUUUUUCGUGGGGGAUAACGUAGGGAAACUUACGCUAAUACCGCAUACGACCUACGGGUGAAAGCAGGGGAUCUUCGGACCUUGCGCGAUUGAAUGAGCCGAUGUCGGAUUAGCUAGUUGGCGGGGUAAAGGCCCACCAAGGCGACGAUCCGUAGCUGGUCUGAGAGGAUGAUCAGCCACACUGGAACUGAGACACGGUCCAGACUCCUACGGGAGGCAGCAGUGGGGAAUAUUGGACAAUGGGCGCAAGCCUGAUCCAGCCAUACCGCGUGGGUGAAGAAGGCCUUCGGGUUGUAAAGCCCUUUUGUUGGGAGAGAAAAGCAGCAGGUUAAUACCCCGCUGUUCUGACGGUACCCAAAGAAUAAGCACCGGCUAACGUCGUG